This 107-nucleotide small nuclear RNA is filed under the name Chinchilla lanigera (long-tailed chinchilla). The record is from RNAcentral. Lineage: Eukaryota; Metazoa; Chordata; Mammalia; Rodentia; Chinchillidae.
GUGCUCAGUUCAGCAGCACAUAUACUAAAAUUGGAAUGAUACAGAGAAGAUUAGCAUGGCCUCUGCUCAAGGAUGACAUGCAAAUUCAUGAAGCAAGAAAAGAAAAU